CCUACGGGUGGCAGCAGUGGGGAAUAUUGGACAAUGGGCGAAAGCCUGAUCCAGCCAUGCCGCGUGUGUGAAGAAGGCCUUCGGGUUGUAAAGCACUUUCAGUGGGGAAGAAAGCCUUGGGGCUAAUACCCUCGAGGAAGGACAUCACCCACAGAAGAAGCACCGGCUAACUCCGUGCCAGCAGCCGCGGUAAUACGGAGGUUGCGAGCGUUAAUCGGAAUUACUGGGCGUAAAGCGCGCGUAGGCGGUCUGAUAAGCCGGUUGUGAAAGCCCCGGGCUCAACCUGGGAACGGCAUCCGGAACUGUCAGGCUAGAGUGCAGGAGAGGAAGGUAGAAUUCCCGGUGUAGCGGUGAAAUGCGUAGAGAUCGGGAGGAAUACCAGUGGCGAAGGCGGCCUUCUGGACUGACACUGACGCUGAGGUGCGAAAGCGUGGGUAGCAAACAGGAUUAGAUACCCCAGUAGUC
This 465-nucleotide ribosomal RNA is filed under the name Vreelandella stevensii. RNAcentral's name for it is "partial 16S ribosomal RNA". It matches the Rfam family "Bacterial small subunit ribosomal RNA", at positions 338 to 795 of the family's 1533-position model. The record is from RNAcentral. Lineage: Bacteria; Pseudomonadati; Pseudomonadota; Gammaproteobacteria; Oceanospirillales; Halomonadaceae.